RNAcentral lists this non-coding RNA (31 nucleotides) under Mus musculus (house mouse). The record is from RNAcentral. Lineage: Eukaryota; Metazoa; Chordata; Mammalia; Rodentia; Muridae.
UUGAACUGCGUGCACUGUCCAUACANAUCCC